This 492-nucleotide ribosomal RNA is filed under the name uncultured bacterium. RNAcentral describes it as "partial 16S ribosomal RNA". It matches the Rfam family "Bacterial small subunit ribosomal RNA", at positions 29 to 507 of the family's 1533-position model. The record is from RNAcentral.
AAUGAACGCUGGCGGCAGGCCUAACACAUGCAAGUCGAACGGCAGCACCGUAAGAGGUUGCUCUUACGGGUGGCGGGUGGCGGAAGGGUGACGUAUGCAUCGGAAACUUCUUUUUCGGGGGGGCUAACGGAGGGAAACUUACGCUAAUAAAGGAUAUGACGUACGGGUGUGAGCAGGGGAUCUUCGGGCCUUGUGCGAUUGUAUGAGCCGAUGUCGGAUUCGAUCGUUAGCGGGGUAAAGAGACAGCUAGGCUACGAUCGGUAGCUGGUCCGAGAGGAUGGUCAGCCACACUGGAACUGAGACACGGUCCAGACUCCUACGGUAGGCCGCAGUGGGGAAUAUUAGGCAAUGGGCGAAAGCCUGAUCCAGCCAUACCGCGUGGGUGAUGAAGGCCUUCGGGUUGUAAAGCCCUUUUGUUGUGAAAGAAAAGCAGCAGUUUAACACGCCGCUGUUCUGACGGUACCCAAAGAAUAAGCACCGGCUAACUCCGUG